This 363-nucleotide ribosomal RNA is filed under the name uncultured bacterium. RNAcentral's name for it is "bacterial SSU rRNA". It matches the Rfam family "Bacterial small subunit ribosomal RNA", at positions 29 to 416 of the family's 1533-position model. The record is from RNAcentral.
AACGAACGCUGGCGGCAGGCUUAACACAUGCAAGUCGAACGGGUGUAGCAAUACAUCAGUGGCAGACGGGUGAGUAACACGUGGGAACCUUCCUAGGGGUACGGAACAACUCAGGGAAACUUGAGCUAAUACCGUAUACGUCCGUGAGGAGAAAGAUUUAUCGCCCUUAGACGGGCCCGCGUCGGAUUAGGUAGUUGGUGGGGUAACGGCCGUACCAAGCCUACGAUCCGUAGCUGAUCUGAGAGGAUGAUCAGCCACACUGGGACUGAGACACGGCCCAGACUCCUACGGGAGGCAGCAGUGGGGAAUCUUGGACAAUGGGCGCAAGCCUGAUCCAGCCAUGCCGCGUGAGUGAAGAAGGCC